GAUGAACGCUAGCUACAGGCUUAACACAUGCAAGUCGAGGGGCAGCAUGAUGAAACUUUCGGGUUUCAUUGAUGGCGACCGGCGCAAGGGUGCGUAACGCGUGAGCAACUUGCCCUUAUCAGGGGGAUAACCGGUGGAAACGCCGACUAAUACCCCAUAGUAUCAACUUUAGGCAUCUUUAGUUGAUUAAAGAAUUCGGAUAAGGAUAGGCUCGCGUGACAUUAGCUAGAUGGCGGGUAACGGCCACCAUGGCGACGAUGUCUAGGGGUUCUGAGAGGAAGGUCCCCCACACUGGAACUGAGACACGGUCCAGACUCCUACGGGAGGCAGCAGUGAGGAAUAUUGGUCAAUGGCCGAGAGGCUGAACCAGCCAUGCCGCGUGAAGGUCACGGCCCCAUGGGUCUUAAACUUCUUUUGUAAGGGAGCAAAUAAGGUUCACGUGUGGACUGAUGAGAGUACCUUACGAAUAAGCAUCGGCUAACUCCGUGCCAGCAGCCG
RNAcentral lists this ribosomal RNA (498 nucleotides) under uncultured bacterium. RNAcentral's name for it is "bacterial SSU rRNA". It matches the Rfam family "Bacterial small subunit ribosomal RNA", at positions 28 to 517 of the family's 1533-position model. The record is from RNAcentral.